GACGAACGCUGGCGGCGUGCCUAAUACAUGCAAGUCGAACGCAGUGGGUACGGGGGCGUACCACGUGGGUAACCUCCCAUCAGAGGGGAUAAACCUUGGAAACAGGUGCUAAACCGAUACUGAUGGAUGUACCCGCUGGGCAUUAGCUAGUUGGUGAGGUAACGGCUCACCAAGUCCACGAUGCAUAGCGGACCUGAGAGGGGGAUCGGCCACACUGGGACUGAGACACGGCCCAGACUCCUACGGGAGGCAGCAGUAGGGAAUCUUGGGCAAUGGACGAAAGUCUGACCGAGCAACGCCGCGUGAGUGAAGAAGGUUUUCGGAUCGUAAAACUCUGUGGUUAGAGAGGCGGUAUCUAACCAGAAAGCCACGGCUAACUACGUGCCAGCAGCCGCGGUAAUUC
This 403-nucleotide ribosomal RNA is filed under the name uncultured bacterium. RNAcentral describes it as "partial 16S ribosomal RNA". It matches the Rfam family "Bacterial small subunit ribosomal RNA", at positions 28 to 526 of the family's 1533-position model. The record is from RNAcentral.